Molecule: ribosomal RNA, 253 nt
Filed under: uncultured bacterium
Lineage: Bacteria
Description: partial 16S ribosomal RNA
Rfam family: Bacterial small subunit ribosomal RNA
Source: RNAcentral
UACAGAGGUGGCAAGCGUUGUUCGGAAUUACUGGGCGUAAAGGGCGCGUAGGCGGUCCUGUCAGUCCCUUGUGAAAUCCCCCGGCUCAACUGGGGAACUGCAAGGGAUACAGCAGGGCUUGAAUCCGGGAGAGGGAUGCGGAAUUCCAGGUGUAGCGGUGAAAUGCGUAGAUAUCGGAAGGAACGCCGGUGGCGAAAGCGGCCUGCUGGACCUCUUCUGACGCUGAGGCGCGAAAGCCAGGGGAGCGAACGGG